Molecule: long non-coding RNA, 1093 nt
Organism: Papaver somniferum (opium poppy)
Lineage: Eukaryota; Viridiplantae; Streptophyta; Magnoliopsida; Ranunculales; Papaveraceae
Exons: 8
Source: RefSeq, a predicted model, not a curated record
CCGAACUCGACUCUCUCUCUCUCUCGUUUUAUUCUUCUUCUUAUUUCACAAAUCUCUCUUGUUCUCUUUUUUCAUAAAUCUUACAAACCGGAAGAGUAAAAGCUCCUCAUCAAGGAAUAAAAUCGUUUGAUCUUAACUCCCCAUCCAUGAUCUGAUAAGAGCAAAGAAAAUCCCUAGAACCACCAGUAAACCAAAUCGUUCUACUCAUGUAGCAGAUCUGUAUUCGAGGUCUUCUUCUUCUUUGAAGUGAGAAACAUAUUUCAAUGGGUCGGGUAGUGAUGAGAAUAGAGUUGAUAUUAUUAAUUCUAAGUUGGGUCAUUCUCAGGUACCAUGGAAAAAACUGAAAGUGUUUUUUCUUUUUCUUUUGAGGAGCCGCGGUUGGAUCAAUUUCAUGAUCUGUUCUAUUUGAUUCAUAAUUAAAGGUUGAUGUUCUUGGUAGCCUUGUGUGUUGAAGACUAGUUAAAGAAAGAGUUGGUCCAGCCAUACUUUAUCACUCUUACAUGUUAGUUGAUGGAUUGUGGGUUUAUCCACCAUUGGAUCUUGGUGUAAUUUCUCGACACUGUUCUAGGAAAGAAAAUAUGGUAUCCUAGACGUAUAUAAUAUUGAAAAUGCAACAACAAAAGUUUAUCAAAUAACAAAGUAGUGGAGGUGUUAGAAAACAUAUCUUUCAAAGAAGAAGUGUUUGGAAUGGGUAGCCUACACGUAUAUGGUAUUGAAAAUGCAACAACAAAAGUUUAUCAAAUAGCAAAGGAGUGGAGGUGUUAGAAACAUAUCUUUCAAAGAUGAUGUGUUUGGAAUGGGUGCAGAUGAAACAGGACAUGAUGCUGCACCAUAGGUGUUACUAAGUUGUUUAGCUUUGAAACCUGUUCCGGUGGUGAAAUUGUUUGAUGGAAGAGGAGAUGCUGAAGAUCAGAAUUCUGAUAAUUAUCCACUGGUUUUUAUUUAGAUCCCUAGAUAUUCUAUUUUCCUUUGGUGUGUUGUUUAGUUGUCUCAUUAUGGUUUUUCUGGUUAGUUGCACUUGUCUUUAAGCUUGCAACUAAUUAGAUAGACUUGUAUUGGUCUGAACUCAGGAUUUAAAUCCUUUUAUGUGUAA